This 535-nucleotide ribosomal RNA is filed under the name Streptomyces heliomycini. RNAcentral describes it as "bacterial SSU rRNA". It matches the Rfam family "Bacterial small subunit ribosomal RNA", at positions 75 to 625 of the family's 1533-position model. The record is from RNAcentral. Lineage: Bacteria; Bacillati; Actinomycetota; Actinomycetes; Kitasatosporales; Streptomycetaceae.
CCACUUCGGUGGGGAUUAGUGGCGAACGGGUGAGUAACACGUGGGCAAUCUGCCCUGCACUCUGGGACAAGCCCUGGAAACGGGGUCUAAUACCGGAUACUGAUCCGCCUGGGCAUCCAGGCGGUUCGAAAGCUCCGGCGGUGCAGGAUGAGCCCGCGGCCUAUCAGCUUGUUGGUGAGGUAACGGCUCACCAAGGCGACGACGGGUAGCCGGCCUGAGAGGGCGACCGGCCACACUGGGACUGAGACACGGCCCAGACUCCUACGGGAGGCAGCAGUGGGGAAUAUUGCACAAUGGGCGCAAGCCUGAUGCAGCGACGCCGCGUGAGGGAUGACGGCCUUCGGGUUGUAAACCUCUUUCAGCAGGGAAGAAGCGCAAGUGACGGUACCUGCAGAAGAAGCGCCGGCUAACUACGUGCCAGCAGCCGCGGUAAUACGUAGGGCGCGAGCGUUGUCCGGAAUUAUUGGGCGUAAAGAGCUCGUAGGCGGCUUGUCGCGUCGGUUGUGAAAGCCCGGGGCUUAACCCCGGGUCUGCA